UUUGUUUCAAUUUUGCCUUUCUGUUGGAAAAUAUUUAACUGCCCUUGAACUUGUAUACAUUGCUUUUACUUUAAGGAACUUAUGAUUUGUAUAUUAGACAAUAAGUUACCUCAUUAUUUGUGCAUAUUCAAUUAUGUGGCUUUUAACAAUUAAAUUACAAAAAUUUCAAAUAUUUAAAGCGAAACGCUUUUCAGUACUGAAAAGUACUGCAGUAGGUACCCAAUUGGACAAACUUUUAAAACGACUAAAGAUUUAUAUAAACGACUUAUUUGGCAUUGUCAUUUUAACCUUGUCGUAAAUUUAGUCGAGGAAAGAAUUGUUUUGUUCACAACUAGCAUUGCUCGAGGUUUAGGAGACUCAAAACUUUGCUGAGGAGGGUAUGAUAAGGUUAAAAGGAAAUAAGGAAAUAUAAUUUUUUUACCUUUCUUUGGAUGUUCACGAACAAACAGCUCAUCCUUGCAUUCUGGAUUCAACAGGUCGUAAACUUUGUCCUGAUAAACUUGCACAAAUGAGCAAUUGAUCUAGAGAGUGAUGAAGACUCUAUUUACAGCCCUAGACACAAAAAUACAUUUGCAAAUCAAUGCUAAAACGAUACAAACAACUCCCAAACAAUCGGUGGCUGCCAUCGCAUUGAGCGUGGUCCAACUGAUGUAAUGUAUCGCUGGAUUGAAGACAGAAGAAGUGGAAAAAUAACUAAAGAUCUUCAAACCGUGAUACUAGGAGUGGGACUCUCCAAACUGAUGUUGGAAUCGACUGGCUGUUUAGCAUCAUAUGAAGGUGAUGUGCUUGAACAGUGUUCAACCUGCUCUGAGUUACUGUUGUCGCUGUUUUUCUCUUGAAUUGCCAAGCGCUUUG
Non-coding RNA from Rhopilema esculentum, 855 nucleotides. NCBI's taxonomy places the organism in Eukaryota, Metazoa, Cnidaria, Scyphozoa, Rhizostomeae, Rhizostomatidae. The record is from RefSeq and is a predicted model, not a curated record.